This 834-nucleotide long non-coding RNA is filed under the name Theobroma cacao (cacao). Its description in RNAcentral is "long non-coding RNA (TCAC_LNC003288)". The record is from RNAcentral. Lineage: Eukaryota; Viridiplantae; Streptophyta; Magnoliopsida; Malvales; Malvaceae.
AUUAGCCCAUUUCUCCCAUAGUGAUCAGCCAAACCAGAAGAGAAGAGAAACCAAGGACGAACAAACCCUAGGUGGGAAAAAUCAAAGAGAAAGUGUUGGAAUUCAAGGAUUUGAUCAAGCAAAGGUAAAAUUUCUUUGAUUUUGCUAGUGAUUUACCUUACCCAUGCAUUUUUCCUUAAUUUCCAUGGUUAAAUUACAUGUUUUCAUGAUGAAAUUAUGGCUGGUCAAAAUGGGUAUGGAGAGAGAAAGAUGUUGGAAUUGUUUGAUUUUGAGUUAUGUUGGUGUUUAGAGUUAGUUAAACAUGUUUAGAAACAAAACAACAAGAAAAGAAUCCAUUUUCCCCAUGAACCUUCAAUGGCCGAAAGUUCCAAGAAGAAAAGUGAAGAUAAAUUUGCCUAAUUGUGUGUUAAUUAGUUGUGCUUGGUGAAUUGAGGGAUUGGAAAAGAAAUGGAGAAAGUUGGAGUGAAAUUGGACGCAUUGGCCAAUUUAUUGGAUGAAAAAUCGACUUAGGUCAAUACCGGGUCUAGAUGGCUACCUGUGCAUUUUUCAUUUCAUAUCAUGCAUAUAUAUCGAGCCUGAAAUAGCUUAUGACUGUUAGACACAAUUUAAUUGAAAUAUGUGCCAUGGAUUAAGGCUAGGUGGUGAGCCAUUAGAUACGAGUAAAGGACUGUACCCGCGGACUGAAAAUAGGAGUAUAUCGACUCCUAGAACAAUGAGUAAACUUACUAUCAUCUUAAUUAUCUAGAGUAGAUUUAUUUAAUUAAGUGGUUUUAUGGAAAAUGGUUUAAUUGGAAAAUUAUUGUGUUCUAUGGGAAAAUGAGAUUUUAUAAAAUA